GUGCCAGCCGCCGCGGUAAUACCAGCUCCGCGAGUGGUCGGGACGAUUAUUGAGCCUAAAGCGCUCGUAGCCGGUCCGGUAAGUCCUGUGCUAAAUCCAACGGCUCAACCGUUAGGCCGCAUGGGAUACUGCUGGGCUAGGGAGCGGAAGAGGCCAGGGGUACUCCCGGGGUAGGGGCGAAAUCCUAUAAUCCCGGGAGGACGACCAGUGGCGAAGGCGCCUGGCUAGGACGCGUCCGACGGUGAGGGGCGAAAGCUGGGGGAGCGAACCGGAUUAGAUACCCGGGUAGUCCCAGCUGUAAACGAUGCGGAUUGGGUGCCGGUACGGCUUCGGGCCGUAUCGGUGCCUCAGGGAAGCCGUUAAAUCCGCCGCUUGGGGAGUACGGUCGCAAGACUGAAACUUAAAGGAAUUGGCGGGGGAGCACCACAAGGGGUGAAGCCUGCGGCUCAAUUGGAGUCAGCGCCGGGAACUUUACCGGGGGCGACAGCAGUAUGAGGGCCAAGCUGAUGACUUUGCCCGACGCGCUGAGAGGUGGCGCAUGGCCGUCGCCAGCUCGUGCCGUGAGGUGUCUGGUUAAGUCCAGGAACGAGCGAGACCCUCACCCCUAGUUGCCACCGCGCAAGCGGGCACACUAGGGGGACCGCCACCGCUAAGGUGGAGGAGGGAGGGGGCAACGGCAGGUCAGCAUGCCCCGAAUCCCCCGGGCCGCACGCGGGCUGCAAUGGUGGAGACAAUGGGUUCCGAACCCGAAAGGGGGAGGUAAUCCUUGAAACUCCACCGUAGUUGGGAUCGAGGGCUGCAACCCGCCCUCGUGAACCUGGAAUCCCCAGUAGUCGCGUGUCAUCAUCGCGCGGUGAACACGUCCCCGCUCCUUGCACACACCGCCCGUC
RNAcentral lists this ribosomal RNA (890 nucleotides) under uncultured archaeon. Its description in RNAcentral is "bacterial SSU rRNA". It matches the Rfam family "Archaeal small subunit ribosomal RNA", at positions 455 to 1354 of the family's 1478-position model. The record is from RNAcentral.